This 464-nucleotide ribosomal RNA is filed under the name uncultured bacterium. RNAcentral's name for it is "bacterial SSU rRNA". It matches the Rfam family "Bacterial small subunit ribosomal RNA", at positions 338 to 795 of the family's 1533-position model. The record is from RNAcentral.
CCUANGGGUGGCAGCAGUCGAGAAUUUUUCACAAUGGGCGAAAGCCUGAUGGAGCGACGCCGCGUGGGGGAUGAAGGCCUUCGGGUCGUAAACCCCUGUCAUUUGCGAACAAACCUUCCGGCCUAACACGCCGGGAGCUGAUUGUAGCGAAAGAGGAAGGGACGGCUAACUCUGUGCCAGCAGCCGCGGUAAUACAGAGGUCCCAAGCGUUGUUCGGAUUCACUGGGCGUAAAGGGUGCGUAGGCGGUGGGGUAAGUCUGAUGUGAAAGCUCGCAGCUCAACUGCGAAAUGGCAUUGGAAACUACCUCGCUAGAGGAGUGGAAGGGGGACUGGAAUACUUGGUGUAGCAGUGAAAUGCGUAGAUAUCAAGUGGAACACCAGUGGCGAAGGCGAGUCCCUGGACACCUCCUGACGCUGAGGCACGAAAGCUAGGGGAGCAAACAGGAUUAGAUACCCCGNUANUC